UUUGUACAACAUUACUAGUGGUCGUUAUGGAACUGGUGCACAGAGGAACUCCCCACUGAUCCUGAGAGGAGCGGAGCUGGUCCGGGGAGGGAUCCAAGCAGCUGGGGCAUUAAGCUAGCUGGAACUAGGGAAGCCUCCGUGCUCUCCAGCGUGAACUGAGAUCCUGGGUGAGGUGAGGUGAUGUUGCUGCUCAAAUCGUUAACUGGAAGGAUACUUUAAAUUAAGAUCAAUACGCUGUCAUGGCCAGCCCCAUCUCCAGACCUGAACCCCAUUGAAAACCUCUGGAAUGUGAUCAAUAGGAAGAUGGAUGGUCACAAGCAUCAAACAAAGCUGAGCUGCUUGAUUUUUUUGCGCCAGGAGUGGCAUAAAGUCACCCAACAUCAAUGUGAAGUGCUGGUGGAGAGCAUGCCAAGACGCAUGAAAGCUGUGAUUGAAAAUCAGUGUUAUUCCACCAAAUAUUGAUUUUGGAAUUCUUCCUAAGUUAGAACAUUACUAUUGUGUUGUUUAAAAAGGGAUAUGAACGCAUUUUCUUUGCAUUAUUUGAGGUCUGACAACACUGCAUCUUUUUGGUUAUUUUGACCAGAUGUAAUUUUCUGCAAAUAAAUGCUCGAAAUGACAAUAUUUUGAGGGGAAUUUGGGAGAAAUGUUGUCAGUGGAUUAUAGAAUAAAAUAAAAAUGUUCAUUUUACCCAAACACAUACCUAUAAAUUGUAAAACCAGUGAAACUGA
Molecule: long non-coding RNA, 728 nt
Organism: Oncorhynchus masou masou (cherry salmon)
Lineage: Eukaryota; Metazoa; Chordata; Actinopteri; Salmoniformes; Salmonidae
Exons: 3
Source: RefSeq, a predicted model, not a curated record